Molecule: ribosomal RNA, 489 nt
Filed under: uncultured bacterium
Lineage: Bacteria
Description: partial 16S ribosomal RNA
Rfam family: Bacterial small subunit ribosomal RNA
Source: RNAcentral
UUGAACGCUGGCGGCAGGCCUAACACAUGCAAGUCGAACGGUAACAGGAAGAAGCUUGCUUCUUUGCUGACGAGUGGCGGACGGGUGAGUAAUGUCUGGGAAACUGCCUGAUGGAGGGGGAUAACUACUGGAAACGGUAGCUAAUGCCGCAUAACGUCGCAAGACCAAAAAGGGGGACCUUCGGGCCUCUUGCCAUCGGAUGUGCCCAGAUGGGAUUAGCUAGUAGGUGGGGUAACGGCUCACCUAGGCGACGAUCCCUAGCUGGUCUGAGAGGAUGACCAGCCACACUGGAACUGAGACACGGUCCAGACUCCUACGGGAGGCAGCAGUGGGGAAUAUUGCACAAAGGGCGCAAGCCUGAUGCAGCCAUGCCGCGUGUAUGAAGAAGGCCUUCGGGUUGUAAAGUACUUUCAGCGGGGAGGAAGGGAGUAAAGUUAAUACCUUUGCUCAUUGACGUUACCCGCAGAAGAAGCACCGGCUAACUCCGUG